RNAcentral lists this non-coding RNA (30 nucleotides) under Homo sapiens (human). Lineage: Eukaryota; Metazoa; Chordata; Mammalia; Primates; Hominidae. The record is from RNAcentral.
GAGAAAGCUCACAAGAACUGCUAACUCAUG